UGAGGGCUUGCUUUCAGGGGAAAGUGGCGAAAGGGGCAGUAAGGCGUGGGUAACCUACCCUGGGGUCCAGCAUAGCCGUCCUAACGGACGGGUAAUUCUGGGCGACGUAACGCGAUCGCCUGACCGUGUUACCAAAGGUUUACCGCCCUGGGAGGGGCCCACGUGGUAUUAGCUUGUUGGUGAGGUAACGGCUCACCAAGGCCAAGAUGCCUAGCGGGUGUGAGAGCACGACCCGCGCCACUGGCACUGAGACACUGGCCAGACUCCUACGGGAGGCUGCAGUCGAGGAUCUUCGGCAAUGGGCGCAAGCCUGACCGAGCGACGCCGCGUGUGCGAUGAAGGCCUUCGGGUUGUAAAGCACUGUCGAGGGGGAGGAAAGCCCGCAAGGGUCUGACCUAUCCCUGGAGGAAGCACGGGCUAAGUUCGUGCCAGCAGCCGCGGUAAGACGAACCGUGCGAACGUUGUUCGGAUUCACUGGGCUUAAAGGGCGCGUAGGCGGGUUCUCAAGUCCGGGGUGAAAUCCUCUCGCUUAACGAGAGAACUGCCCUGGAUACUGGGGACCUCGAGGGAGGUAGGGGCAUGUGGAACUUCCGGUGGAGCGGUGAAAUGCGUAGAUAUCGGAAGGAACGCCGGUGGCGAAAGCGACGUGCUGGACCUUUUCUGACGCUGAGGCGCGAAAGCCAGGGGAGCAAACGGGAUUAGAUACCCCGGUAGUCCUGGCCCUAAACGAUGGGUACUAGAUUGGAGACUGACAUGGGUUUCCAAUCGAAGCAAAAGUGUUAAGUACCCCGCCUGGGGAGUAUGGUCGCAAGGCUGAAACUCAAAGGAAUUGACGGGGGGCUCACACAAGCGGUGGAGCAUGUGGCUUAAUUCGAGGCUACGCGAAGAACCUUAUCCUGGGCUUGACAUGUCC
RNAcentral lists this ribosomal RNA (913 nucleotides) under uncultured Planctomycetia bacterium. RNAcentral describes it as "bacterial SSU rRNA". It matches the Rfam family "Bacterial small subunit ribosomal RNA", at positions 73 to 991 of the family's 1533-position model. Lineage: Bacteria; Pseudomonadati; Planctomycetota; Planctomycetia. The record is from RNAcentral.